ACAUACAAGUCGAGGGGAAACGGCAUUUAGUGCUUGCACCGAAUGGACGUCGACCGGCGCACGGGUGAGUAACGCGUAUCCAACCUUCCCAUAACUAAGGGAUAACCUGCCGAAAGGCAGACUAAUACCUUAUGUAAUCCUUUGAUGGCAUCAGAUAAGGAUAAAAGAUUUAUCGGUUAUGGAUGGGGAUGCGUCUGAUUAGCUUGUUGGCGGGGUAACGGCCCACCAAGGCAACGAUCAGUAGGGGUUCUGAGAGGAAGGUCCCCCACAUUGGAACUGAGACACGGUCCAAACUCCUACGGGAGGCAGCAGUGAGGAAUAUUGGUCAAUGGACGGAAGUCUGAACCAGCCAAGUAGCGUGCAGGAUGACGGCCCUAUGGGUUGUAAACUGCUUUUGUAUGGGGAUAAAGUCAAUCACGUGUGAUUGUUUGCAGGUACCAUACGAAUAAGGACCGGCUAAUUCCGUGCCAGCAGCCGCGGUAAUACGGAAGGUUCGGGCGUUAUCCGGAUUUAUUGGGUUUAAAGGGAGCGUAGGCCGGAGAUUAAGUGUGUUGUGAAAUGUAGACGCUCAACGUCUGACUUGCAGCGCAUACUGGUUUCCUUGAGUACGCACAACGUUGGCGGAAUUCGUCGUGUAGCGGUGAAAUGCUUAGAUAUGACGAAGAACUCCGAUUGCGAAGGCAGCUGACGGGAGCGCAACUGACGCUGAAGCUCGAAGGUGCGGGUAUCGAACAGGAUUAGAUACCCUGGUAGUCCGCACAGUAAACGAUGGAUGCCCGCUGUUGGUACCU
Molecule: ribosomal RNA, 791 nt
Filed under: uncultured Prevotellaceae bacterium
Lineage: Bacteria; Pseudomonadati; Bacteroidota; Bacteroidia; Bacteroidales; Prevotellaceae
Description: bacterial SSU rRNA
Rfam family: Bacterial small subunit ribosomal RNA
Source: RNAcentral